GCUGUUCGGGUAUGAGUUUCUACUCCACCCAUGUGAACUUACCUUUUGUUGCCUCGGCAGAAGUUAUAGGUCUUCUUAUAGCUGCUGCCGGUGGACCAUUAAACUCUUGUUAUUUUAUGUAAUCUGAGCGUCUUAUUUUAAUAAGUCAAAACUUUCAACAACGGAUCUCUUGGUUCUGGCAUCGAUGAAGAACGCAGCGAAAUGCGAUAAGUAAUGUGAAUUGCAGAAUUCAGUGAUACAUCGAAUCUUUGAACGCACAUUGCGCCCAUUAGUAUUCUAGUGGGCAUGCCUGUUCGAGCGUCAUUUCAACCCUUAAGCCUAGCUUAGUGUUGGGAAUCUACUUCUUAAUAGUUGUAGUUCCUGAAAUACAACGGCGGAUUUGUAGUAUCCUCUGAGCGUAGUAAUUUUUUCUCGCUUUUGUUAGGUGCUAUAACUCCCAGCCGCUAAACCCCCAAUUUUUUGUGGUUGACCUCGGAUCAGGUAGGAAUACCCGCUGAACUUAAGCAUAUCAAUAGCCGGAGGAAGCUACUUAUGGAGUUUUCUAAACUCCCAACCAUGGUGUACUUAGUUUUUGUUUGCUCGCGAAAGUUUAUAGGUCUUCUUAUAGCUGCUGCGGCUGGACAUUUAAACUCUGUUUAUUUUAUGUAAAUCUGACGUCUUAUUUUAAUUAAGUCAAACUUUCACACGAUCUCUUGGGUUCUGGCAUCAUGAAGACCGCAAAGCUGUAGUAAUGUGGAAUGCUGAAUCGUUGAAUCUUGUAAUCUCUAACGC
Molecule: ribosomal RNA, 771 nt
Filed under: fungal endophyte
Lineage: Eukaryota; Fungi
Description: eukaryotic LSU rRNA
Rfam family: 5.8S ribosomal RNA (bases 150-303)
Source: RNAcentral